This 585-nucleotide ribosomal RNA is filed under the name Salmonella enterica. RNAcentral's name for it is "partial 23S ribosomal RNA". It matches the Rfam family "Bacterial large subunit ribosomal RNA", at positions 2218 to 2802 of the family's 2925-position model. RNAcentral also lists the same sequence under 3 other names. The record is from RNAcentral. Lineage: Bacteria; Pseudomonadati; Pseudomonadota; Gammaproteobacteria; Enterobacterales; Enterobacteriaceae.
UGUUCUAACGUGGACCCGUUACCCGGGUUGCGGACAGUGUCUGGUGGGUAGUUUGACUGGGGCGGUCUCCUCCUAAAGAGUAACGGAGGAGCACGAAGGUUGGCUAAUCCUGGUCGGACAUCAGGAGGUUAGUGCAAUGGCAUAAGCCAGCUUGACUGCGAGCGUGACGGCGCGAGCAGGUGCGAAAGCAGGUCAUAGUGAUCCGGUGGUUCUGAAUGGAAGGGCCAUCGCUCAACGGAUAAAAGGUACUCCGGGGAUAACAGGCUGAUACCGCCCAAGAGUUCAUAUCGACGGCGGUGUUUGGCACCUCGAUGUCGGCUCAUCACAUCCUGGGGCUGAAGUAGGUCCCAAGGGUAUGGCUGUUCGCCAUUUAAAGUGGUACGCGAGCUGGGUUUAGAACGUCGUGAGACAGUUCGGUCCCUAUCUGCCGUGGGCGCUGGAGAACUGAGGGGGGCUGCUCCUAGUACGAGAGGACCGGAGUGGACGCAUCACUGGUGUUCGGGUUGUCAUGCCAAUGGCACUGCCCGGUAGCUAAAUGCGGAAGAGAUAAGUGCUGAAAGCAUCUAAGCACGAAACUUGCCCCGA